This 305-nucleotide ribosomal RNA is filed under the name uncultured bacterium. RNAcentral describes it as "bacterial SSU rRNA". It matches the Rfam family "Bacterial small subunit ribosomal RNA", at positions 334 to 657 of the family's 1533-position model. The record is from RNAcentral.
UUUACCUACGGGGGGCAGCAGUGGGGAAUAUUGCACAAUGGGGGAAACCCUGAUGCAGCGACGCCGCGUGAAGGAAGAAGUAUUUCGGUAUGUAAACUUCUAUCAGCAGGGAAGAAAAUGACGGUACCUGACUAAGAAGCCCCGGCUAACUACGUGCCAGCAGCCGCGGUAAUACGUAGGGGGCAAGCGUUAUCCGGAUUUACUGGGUGUAAAGGGAGCGUAGGCGGUUUAGCAAGUCUGAAGUGAAAGGCGGGGGCCAACCCCGGGACUGCUCUUGGAAAUGCAUGGCUGGAGUACAGGAGGGG